CAUGCAGUCAAGGGGUAUCAGCAAUGGUACACCGGCGUACGGGUGCGUAACACGUAUAUAACAUUUCUGUAUCACUAGGAUAACUUGCUGAAAGGUGAGCUAAUAUUAGAUGGUUUCAAGGUAUCUCAUGUUAUUUUGAAUAAAGCUACGGCGGAUACAGGUUGGUAUGCGUUCCAUUAGCUAGUUGGUAAGGUAACGGCUUACCAAGGCGAUGAUGGAUAGGGGUUCUGAGAGGAAUGUCCCCCACACUGGUACUGAGAUACGGACCAGACUCCUACGGGAGGCAGCAGUAGGGAAUAUUGGGCAAUGGACGGAAGUCUGACCCAGCCAUGCCGCGUGCAGGAUGACGGCGCUUAGCGUUGUAAACUGCUUUUGUUAAGGAAGAAACCCUCUUUGCGAAGAGGUAUGACGGUACUUAAAGAAUAAGCAUCGGCUAACUACGUGCCAGCAGCCGCGGUAAUACGUAGGAUGCAAGCGUUGUCCGGAAUUAUUGGGUUUAAAGGGUGUGUAGGUUGUUAUAUAAGUCAGCGGUGAAAUACAUUUGCUUAACAGAUAGUAAGCCGUUGAUACUGUGUAGCUAGAGUGCGAUAUAGGUGGGCGGAAUUUGUAAUGUAGCGGUGAAAUGCAUAGAUAUUACAAGGAACGUCGAUAGCGAAGGCAGCUCACUGUGUCUGCACUGACACUGAGACACGAAAGCGUGGGUAUCGAACAGGAUUAGAUACCCUGGUAGUCCACGCUGUAAACGAUGAUGACUCGAUGU
This 760-nucleotide ribosomal RNA is filed under the name uncultured Flexibacteraceae bacterium. Its description in RNAcentral is "bacterial SSU rRNA". It matches the Rfam family "Bacterial small subunit ribosomal RNA", at positions 54 to 823 of the family's 1533-position model. Lineage: Bacteria; Pseudomonadati; Bacteroidota; Cytophagia; Cytophagales; Cytophagaceae. The record is from RNAcentral.